Non-coding RNA from Podarcis lilfordi (Lilford's wall lizard), 76 nucleotides. Lineage: Eukaryota; Metazoa; Chordata; Lepidosauria; Squamata; Lacertidae. The record is from the annotation of a GenBank genome assembly.
GCGUAGCUCAGUUGCCUAGAGCGUGGCGCUGAUAAUGCCAAGGUCGCAGGUUCGAUCCCCAUAAGGGACAGCUGCA